This 593-nucleotide ribosomal RNA is filed under the name fungal endophyte. RNAcentral's name for it is "eukaryotic LSU rRNA". The stretch from base 191 to 344 matches the Rfam family "5.8S ribosomal RNA". Lineage: Eukaryota; Fungi. The record is from RNAcentral.
CGGAGGGAUCAUUAAAGAGUUCUAUAACUCCCAAACCCAUGUGAACAUACCUAACGUUGCCUCGGCAGGUCGCACCUACCUUGUAGCACCCUACCCUGUAGGGCCUACCCGGGAGGUGCGGGUAAGCCUGCCGGCGGCCCACCAAACUCUGUUUGAUAUUGAAUUCUGAACCUAUAACUAAAUAAGUUAAAACUUUCAACAACGGAUCUCUUGGUUCUGGCAUCGAUGAAGAACGCAGCGAAAUGCGAUAAGUAAUGUGAAUUGCAGAAUUCAGUGAAUCAUCGAAUCUUUGAACGCAUAUUGCGCCCAUUAGUAUUCUAGUGGGCAGGACCGUUCGAGCGUCAUUUCAACCCUUAAGCCUUCGUUGCUUAGUGUUGGGAGCCUACGGCAACGUAGCUCCUCAAAGUUAGUGGCGGAGUUGGUUCACACUCUAGACGUAGUAAUUUUUUAUCUCGCCUAUUAGUUGGACUAAUCCCCUGCCGUAAAACCCCCAAUUUAUCAAGGUUGACCUCGAAUCGGUUCAGACAAACUCGCUAAAUUGAAGCAUCUUAGUCAGCGAAGGAAAAGAAACCAACAGGGAUUGCCCUAGUAAC